CAAAUCAAGACCAGGACCUUUGAUGUCCCCGCCCUCCCCGCGUCGCCGGAAAGGAAAUCUCUCAAACCCUCGACACCCGCCACCCCUCUCCGAAGAGUGCCACCGCGGAGGUGCUCAGAACCGGAAGGGGACGCUUUGGGAAUGACCAUGCUCUACGGAGGGACAGAGCCUGCCCCCAGCUUCUCCACACAGAGACUCCUCUACUAAAGCUCCAAAAAAAUUAAAAAGAAAAAAAAAGAAA
RNAcentral lists this long non-coding RNA (241 nucleotides) under Rattus norvegicus (Norway rat). Its description in RNAcentral is "long non-coding RNA NONRATT021913". Lineage: Eukaryota; Metazoa; Chordata; Mammalia; Rodentia; Muridae. The record is from RNAcentral.